This is a long non-coding RNA of Phyllostomus discolor (pale spear-nosed bat), 422 nucleotides long. RefSeq lists it as uncharacterized. Lineage: Eukaryota; Metazoa; Chordata; Mammalia; Chiroptera; Phyllostomidae. The record is from RefSeq and is a predicted model, not a curated record. The transcript has 3 exons.
CACACACGUGUUUAACAGAGCUGGUCUCGGCUCCUGGCAAGGGGGUGUGACUGGAGAGACUUUCUGCAGAGCAGUUUGACUGUGUUUCAUCAGAUUUUUAAAUGUUUAUGUCCACUGCCUUAAAAAUUCCACUUCAGGAAAUCUAUCUAAGGAAACAAUCACUGGUACAAAGACUGAUUAAUGUUUUAAACAGUUUUAUAGUAGAGAACUGGAAAGAACCUGAAUGUCCUAUAAUAAGAACAGUUAAGUGACUGUGUGAUAUAAACAUUCAGAGUAAUUUUAAAAAAUAGUUUAAAAAUAAACCAAGAUGUUUAAGCUACAUGUUCAGUGCAUACACACAUAUAGUACGGUGCCAACUACAUUAAAAAUGCAUAGAAAAAACACUGGAAUUUUCCCUAAUUCUUCGUAUGUUUUUUAAAUUU